CGGUAGUAACCUAGCCUUUCUAGAGGGGGACGAACAGUUGGAAACGAACUGCUAAUACCGCAUAAUAUAUAUGGACCGCAUGAUCUGUAUAUCAAAGAUUUAUCGCUGAAAGAUGGACUCGCGUCUGAUUAGCUAGUUGGUGAGGUAACGGCCCACCAAGGCGACGAUCAGUAGCCGACCUGAGAGGGUGAUCGGCCACAUUGGGACUGAGACACGGCCCAG
RNAcentral lists this ribosomal RNA (222 nucleotides) under uncultured bacterium. Its description in RNAcentral is "partial 16S ribosomal RNA". It matches the Rfam family "Bacterial small subunit ribosomal RNA", at positions 116 to 334 of the family's 1533-position model. The record is from RNAcentral.